AUUAGAGUUUGAUCCUGGCUCAGAACGAACGUUGGCGGCGUGGAUUAGGCAUGCAAGUCGCGGGAAUCCCCCGCAAGGGGGGGAACCGGCGUAAGGGGCAGUAAGGCGUGGGUACCUGCCGCGGGGUCCGGGAUAGCCCUUCGAGAGAAGGGGUAAUACCGGAUGACGUCGGGAGACCAAAGGUCCGCCGCCCUGUGAGGGGCCCACGCGGUAUCAGCUCGUCGGUGGGGUGACGGCCCACCGAGGCGUAGACGCCUAGCGGGUGUGAGAGCACGACCCGCGCCACUGGCACUGAGACACUGGCCAGACACCUACGGGUGGCUGCAGUCGAGGAUCUUCGGCAAUGGGGGCAACCCUGACCGAGCGACGCCGCGUGUGCGACGAAGGCCUUCGGGUUGUAAAGCACUGUCGAGGGGGGGAAAGCCGGCGUCACAGCCGGUCGAUCGAUCCCUGGAGGAAGCACGGGCUAAGUUCGUGCCAGCAGCCGCGGUAAGACGAACCGUGCGAACGUUGUUCGGAAUCACUGGGCUUAAAGGGCGCGUAGGCGGGCCGCCGCGUCCGGGGUGAAAUGCCACGGCUCAACCGUGGAACGGCCCCGGGUACGGGCGGCCUCGAGGGGGGUAGGGGCCCGCGGAACUGUGCGUGGAGCGGUGAAAUGCGUUGAUAUGCACAGGAACUCCGGUGGCGAAGGCGGCGGGCUGGACCCCAUCUGACGCUGAGGCGCGAAAGCCAGGGGAGCGAACGGGAUUAGAUACCCCGGUAGUCCUGGCCCUAAACGAUGAGCACCGGGUAGUGGCCUUGCAUGGGGUCACUGCCGCAGCCAAAGUGCUAAGUGCUCCGCCUGGGGAGUAUGGCCGCAAGGCUGAAACUCAAAGGAAUUGACGGGGGCUCACACAAGCGGUGGAGCAUGUGGCUUAAUUCGAGGCUACGCGAAGAACCUUAUCCUAGGCUUGACAUGUGCGAAAGCGGCCGGAAGUAGGACCCGGAAACGGGGGCGAACGGUAUCCAGCCCGGAACCGGCCACAGGUGCUGCAUGGCUGUCGUCAGCUCGUGUCGUGAGAUGUCGGGUUAAGUCCCAUAACGAGCGAAACCCUUACCCCCAGUUGCCAGCGGGUCGUGCCGGGGACUCUGGGGGGACUGCCGGUGUCAAACCGGAGGAAGGUGGGGAUGACGUCAAGUAAU
This 1182-nucleotide ribosomal RNA is filed under the name uncultured bacterium. RNAcentral's name for it is "bacterial SSU rRNA". It matches the Rfam family "Bacterial small subunit ribosomal RNA", at positions 1 to 1193 of the family's 1533-position model. The record is from RNAcentral.